UACACUACCAAAGAAUGAUACUACAAAAGUUCUCCACAUUUCGUACAGCAGUUUUUUGAUAAUUUGACUCGAAAAAGCGAACUAUUUGUCCAUUGUGGACGUUCAAAAACGUACCGCGCCUACGUUAAAAAACUCCGCCGCGUAUGACGCAUCGUACCACGUGACGUGAACUGUCCAAUUAGACACCAGAUAUGAGGUCGCAGGUCAUGACAUUUAACAAACAUGGCGGCGUCCAUUGGCAAAAGUGCGUCAACGUAAACAUCGACCGGUGCAAAAAAGAAGUGUUUGCACUCAUAACCUGUCACGUUUGAGGGGGGAAAUGCGAAGGAUCUGAUGUCCGGUGAUAGUAAGUUCAUUUCCUGUGCCAAAGAGUGGCUGAAUUUCACAAUGGCAUCGCCGAAUAUACCCACGAUGUGUGGGCAGUGGAUCUGGCGCAUGUAAACAAGGCAGUCCGGCCGGCCGAUCUCACCCAUGGCGGUUUUUAUAGAUAGUAAACGUCUCUGUGCUGCAAGAAAACGCAAAUCAGACACUUCAGCUGAGACCCAGAUUUCUUCACUGAAAAAGCUCCCGGCAAAGUUCAAGUUUCUUUUAGUUGCCUAUCUACAUAACCAGAUAACUGUGUCAUGCUGCACACAAACUCAACCAGGAUUUUGAUUUCGAUGAAAACCUCAAUUCAAGGACAAGCUGCAACAGUACAACAAGCAGAACUUCCGUUCGAGGCCUAAAGGAUGAACGUCAGGAAAAGGGAGAUGUUCUGCAACUGACUGUUCAACCCCGAUCAACAACUUAGUUUAAUGAGAAUGUCCCAGUUUGCUGAACUGUUGGAAUCAUGAAAUGAUUUAAAAGCCGAAGGAACUGGCCUUGGAUCUUUAUAUCGAACUGAUUAGUUGACAUAUCGGCUUAGAAGAGAAUAUCCAAAGGUCUCUUUCCUUGAUAUAUGCGACAUCAUCUACACCGCUACUUUAUCUGCUGGAGGUGUGGUUGAAUCUCUGGGGACUUCAGAGGAGGAUUCAAAACUGAAAUUUUGGCUUAGAAAGCAAGACAUACGCUCCAUCCUGUUGUUAUGCCGUUACUGCACAACAUUUGAUGAGAACUUUGAUGUAGUGAUAACAUUUACUUGAAGUUGUAUCAGCACGACUAGUUAGCAUUUGACAUUAUAAUGAAAAUAAUGAGUAACUCUAGAUUUCAAAACUACAUAAUUGUAUCCUUCUGUUCAUUAGUGUUGGUUUCAUUCAUUUUAAUUCUUCUCAAUUAUUAAAAAUAAGUUCCAGUAGAAAGGCAAAGUCUGUGAGUUUUAACAGUGAGACUAGCCACAUAUGACAAGCCAAAUCACUCUCUUUAAUGUGUAAGCAUACAAAAUAGCAUGAGUUAUGGUUUUGUUUUCUUUUUUAUUGAUAUACAUGCAAACAUUUUUCGGUGCUAAUCAAUGUAUCAAUAAAUAAAAAGCUGAAAUUUUCUUUGACAAAAGACUGAUCUUAAGGCUUUUCUCCAAACCAAGAUGGCUGUUUUGAUUAGAUAGCAAAUAAAUGUACAAUGGUUGAUUUUUGAAAUUAUUAAA
This is a long non-coding RNA of Patiria miniata (bat star), 1558 nucleotides long. RefSeq lists it as uncharacterized. The record is from RefSeq and is a predicted model, not a curated record. NCBI's taxonomy places the organism in Eukaryota, Metazoa, Echinodermata, Asteroidea, Valvatida, Asterinidae. The transcript has 3 exons.